UACGUAGGGCGCAAGCGUUGUCCGGAAUUAUUGGGCGUAAAGCGCGCGCAGGCGGUUCCUUAAGUCUGAUGUGAAAGCCCACGGCUCAACCGUGGAGGGUCAUUGGAAACUGGGGAACUUGAGUGCAGAAGAGAAGAGCGGAAUUCCACGUGUAGCGGUGAAAUGCGUAGAGAUGUGGAGGAACACCAGUGGCGAAGGCGGCUCUUUGGUCUGUAACUGACGCUGAGGCGCGAAAGCGUGGGGAGCGAACAGGAUUAGAUACCCCGUAGGUACCGUCC
This 278-nucleotide ribosomal RNA is filed under the name uncultured bacterium. RNAcentral describes it as "partial 16S ribosomal RNA". It matches the Rfam family "Bacterial small subunit ribosomal RNA", at positions 524 to 800 of the family's 1533-position model. The record is from RNAcentral.